UUUUGAAUCAUGUAGACUUGGGU
This 23-nucleotide non-coding RNA is filed under the name Cricetulus griseus (Chinese hamster). The record is from RNAcentral. Lineage: Eukaryota; Metazoa; Chordata; Mammalia; Rodentia; Cricetidae.